AGAGUUUGAUCCUGGCUCAGGACCUUCGCUGGCGGCGUGCCUAACACAUGCAAGUCGAGCGAAUGAAUUUUCUUCGGGAACGGAUUUAGCGGCGGACGGGUGAGUAACACGUGGGCAACCUGCCUCAUAGAGGGGAAUAGCCUUCCGAAAGGGAGAUUAAUACCGCAUAAGAUUGUAGUACCGCAUGGUACAUCAAUUAAAGGAGCAAUCCGCUAUGAGAUGGGCCCGCGGCGCAUUAGCUAGUUGGUGAGGUAACGGCUCACCAAGGCGACGAUGCGUAGCCGACCUGAGAGGGUGAUCGGUCACACUGGAACUGAGACACGGUCCAGACUCCUACGGGAGGCAGCAGUGGGGAAUCUUGCACAAUGGAGGCAACUCUGAUGCAGCGACGCCGCGUGAGCGAUGAAGGUAUUCGUAUCGUAAAGCUCUGUUGUUGGGGAAGAUAAUGACAGUACCCAUCGAGAAAGCCCCGGCUAACUAAGUGCCAGCAGCCGCGGUAAUACUUAGGGGGCAAGCGUUGUCCGGAAUUAUUGGGCGUAAAGGGUACGCAGGCGGUUUAAGAAGUGAGUUGUGAAAGCGUGAGGCUCAACCUCAUACAGCAAUUCAAACUCUUAAACUUGAGUAGUGGAGAGGAAAGUGGAAUUCUUAGUGUAGCGGUGAAAUGCGUAGAUAUUAAGAGGAACACCAGUGGCGAAGGCGACUUUCUGGACACUAACUGACGCUGAGGUACGAAAGCGUGGGAAGCAAACAGGAUUAGAUACCCUGGUAGUCCACGCCCGUAAACGAUGAGUGCUAGGUAUCGGAAGAAUUCGGUGCCGCAGUUAACGCAUGAAGCACUCCGCCUGGGGAGUACGUUCUUAAGAAUGAAACUCAAAGGAAUUGACGGGGACCCGCACAAGCAGCGGAGCAUGUGGUUUAAUUCGAUGCAACGCGAAGAACCUUACCAAGUCUUGACAUCUUAGGGACCGGUCGCGAAACCGACCUUUUUCUUCGGAAACUCUAAGACAGGUGGUGCAUGGUUGUCGUCAGCUCGUGUCGUGAGAUGUUGGCUUAAGUGCCGUAACGAGCGCAACCCCUAUUGUCAGUUGCCAGCAUUUAGUUGGGGACUCUGACGAGACUGCCGAUGACAAAUCGGAGGAAGGUGGGGACGACGUCAAAUCAUCAUGCCCUUCAUGACUUGGGCUACACACGUGCUACAAUGGACGGUACAACGGGUAGCGAGGGCGCGAGCCUUAGCAAAUCCUAAUAAGCCGUUCUCAGUUCGGAUUGUUCUCUGCAACUCGAGAGCAUGAAGCCGGAAUCGCUAGUAAUCGCGGAUCAGAAUGCCGCGGUGAAUACGUUCCCGGGUCUUGCACACACCGCCCGUCA
Molecule: ribosomal RNA, 1368 nt
Filed under: uncultured bacterium
Lineage: Bacteria
Description: 16S ribosomal RNA
Rfam family: Bacterial small subunit ribosomal RNA
Source: RNAcentral